Molecule: unclassified non-coding RNA, 250 nt
Filed under: uncultured Lasiosphaeriaceae
Lineage: Eukaryota; Fungi; Ascomycota; Sordariomycetes; Sordariales; Lasiosphaeriaceae
Description: sequence contains ITS2
Source: RNAcentral
AACGCACAUUGCGCCCGCUAGUAUUCUGGCGGGCAUGCCUGUUCGAGCGUCAUUUCAACCAUCAAGCCCCCGGCUUGUGUUGGGGACCUGCGGCUGCCGCAGGCCCUGAAAUCCAGUGGCGGGCUCGCCGUAGCACCGAGCGUAGUAGCAUACUUCUCGCUCCGGUAGCAGCGGUGGGCGCCUGCCGUAAAACCCCCCUUACAAUCUCAAGGUUGACCUCGGAUCAGGUAGGAAUACCCGCUGAACUUAA